AUUUUUCCUCCCCCUUUUUAUUUCUUUUUCUUUCUCUUUUCUUUUU
This 46-nucleotide non-coding RNA is filed under the name uncultured eukaryote. The record is from RNAcentral.